AUCCUUUGGUUCAUGAGCAUGAUGAUUGGGUGUUCGCACUAUGUAUAAGAUGUGCCUCCCUCUAAACCUUGUUAUGACUUUGGCACAUUACCCAUUUGACA
Molecule: small nucleolar RNA, 101 nt
Filed under: Sciurus vulgaris (Eurasian red squirrel)
Lineage: Eukaryota; Metazoa; Chordata; Mammalia; Rodentia; Sciuridae
Description: Small nucleolar RNA U13 (ENSSVLG00005024233.1)
Rfam family: Small nucleolar RNA U13
Source: Rfam by way of RNAcentral